AACGUAGGACACAAGCGUUAUCCGGAGUUACUGGGCGUAAAGGGCGUGUAGGCGGAGAUGUAAGUCUAUUCUGAAAGCUCCUGGCUAAACUGGGAGAGGCGAAUGGAGACUGCAUAUCUAGAGUGAGGAAGAGGAAAGUGAAAAUUCCGCGUGUAGUGGUGAAAUGCGUAGAGAUGCGGAGGAACACCAGUGGCGAAAGCGACUUUCUGGUCCUUAACUGACGCUGAGGCGCGAAAAGCAUGGGGGAGCGAACGGGG
This 257-nucleotide ribosomal RNA is filed under the name uncultured bacterium. RNAcentral's name for it is "partial 16S ribosomal RNA". It matches the Rfam family "Bacterial small subunit ribosomal RNA", at positions 524 to 777 of the family's 1533-position model. The record is from RNAcentral.